RNAcentral lists this long non-coding RNA (402 nucleotides) under Heterocephalus glaber (naked mole-rat). RNAcentral's name for it is "lncRNA (ENSHGLG00100042095.1)". The record is from RNAcentral. Lineage: Eukaryota; Metazoa; Chordata; Mammalia; Rodentia; Bathyergidae.
CUCUGAUCAAGUGGAGACCACAAAAGAAAGACAGGACGUGCCAGAAGUGCUUCAGCAGUUCCAGCAACCUCAAGACUCACCUGUGCCUGCACGUCCAGUGCAGUGUCUGCCCAAAUCACUUCACCCAGCUUGUCCAUUGGAAGCUGCACCAACAGCUCCACACUCCACAACCCGGCGGCCUGGCUCACCCCCACCUGCCCCUGGGCUCUCUUCCCUGCCUUGCCCAAUGGCACCAGCGAGCAUUGGAUCUUGUUGCGGAGCCCUCAGAGAAACAGAUGGGUUGGGACAUGGACAGGGUCAAGGUGUCCUUGGUAUCCCAGGGAAAGCCAGGGCAGCCAGCCUGAGCCAACACUGCUCAGAGGAGAGGGCAAGGGCAGAGCAAUUAAAGGAUUUUCAAAAUGA